AUAGGAAUCACAAUCCUGUUGAGCUUCAUUUCAGAUCUCCUGAAGACCUCCCUCGCCCUCUCGUCUCCUAUCGCCAACCACCUGACCCAGAGUGGAAAGGUCCUGCGCCGCUUCUUACUUGGGGACGGGGAUACGCUGCGGUUUCUCUGGAUAAGGGAGCAGUUUGGAUUCCAGCAAAAUGCGUCCGCCCCUGGCGUUCCACCCCUACAUCAUUGGACUCCUAGGAUUUUCCACACUAUUUCGUCUUCCUCCAGUUUAUGCUCCAGGAACUACAGGGAACUCGUGGGUUCAACACGCCACAUAUAUGUUUGAUGUUCAUGGAAAGAAUGUAUCUCUUCUGUAUGAAUCUCCUGUUUCAGUAGCCUCUAUGAGCUUACUUCCUGCGCUUAUUGAUGAUCCUGCUUUAAUUCUUGCUUCCCUCCAUGCUGUCUCUGAACAGCGGACAGAACUGCUUUUCCAUAAUGUUCCCCCCCAGUCUGAUAUGUCUCCUGUCCGUUGGUUUCAAUACACCCGUCGCACUCGUGGGUUAUGCUUUUGCUGCACUCAUAAAGGAUACUGGAAUUCCAGAGUCCCUGGCUAUAACAAAUAUGCUCCCCGUUUCGAAAGGCUCAGGAACUACACCUCAUGCUCCAACAACUUCUGGCUUUCUGCCAAAGAUGGGGGAAAAUUUGGGUAUUCUAAUGCCUCUCUCACUCCUACUGGGCUUGUAAAUGUUUCAACUGCAAAUUCCACCUUGUCUGAUAUCUAUCCUAACUUUCCUUUCAUGCAAGCUAGCUUUACUGCCUCUGGCUCUAUCUGUGGUCAUAUGUUUCUUAAGGACCCUAACCUAUGGUUCUUUUUCGAUCAAUACGCCACUAAUUACCACCCUGGUCACUCUGCCGGGGCUUGUGUUGGUAUUGGCUUUCUCACCUUCCCUGUUCAGGUCAUUGACUCGUCUCAUUCUUCUGUUUUUCCUUCUCCUACUUCUUCUACCCCCGCUACCUCCCCUUCUAUCUCUUUCAGCUUAAA
RNAcentral lists this long non-coding RNA (1008 nucleotides) under Pogona vitticeps (central bearded dragon). RNAcentral describes it as "lncRNA (ENSPVIG00000005038.1)". Lineage: Eukaryota; Metazoa; Chordata; Lepidosauria; Squamata; Agamidae. The record is from RNAcentral.